AUGGGUGCACCCCAGUCCUAUGGAUGCCCCAUCCCUGCUCACAUGGGUGCCCACCCCCUCCCAUAUUCCCCCAUCGCCACCCAUUCCCGCCCCCUGGCCCCCACAUUCCCCGACCUCAGGUCGCCUCCACCCACAGCUGCUCUCAACAAGCACCCAAGCGUCGAGCCCAGGGGCACCCAUGGGUGCUGCCAUCCUAUAAUAACCCACUUUUUCCCCCCCUCCGUAGGCCGAGAAGGAGCGCAAGUACCACAUCUACCAGCUUUGCGCCUGUGCCCACCUCUCCCCCUUCCAAAGCCUGGCAUUGGAAGGUUCUGAGGGUUUCUUUUACACCUCCCAAGGAGGGGAGGCCGCCAUUGAUGGGGUGGAUGACGCCGAAGAGAUGGAAAAGACCCAGAAUGCCUUCAGCAUCUUGGGAGUUCCGGAAGCCCAGCAGGCCACCAUCUUCCGCCUCCUGGCCGCCAUCUUGCAUCUGGGCAACGUGGAAGUGAGGGCCGAACGGGAUGGUGACGCCAGCAGCAUUUCGGUAUGUCCUCUUCCUCUUCCCAUCUCACUUCCGCUUCUCCUUUUGCUUUCACUUUCACUUCCCCUUCCCACUUCCCCUU
This is a non-coding RNA of Meleagris gallopavo (turkey), 602 nucleotides long. The record is from RefSeq and is a predicted model, not a curated record. NCBI's taxonomy places the organism in Eukaryota, Metazoa, Chordata, Aves, Galliformes, Phasianidae.